RNAcentral lists this ribosomal RNA (474 nucleotides) under uncultured bacterium. RNAcentral describes it as "bacterial SSU rRNA". It matches the Rfam family "Bacterial small subunit ribosomal RNA", at positions 29 to 506 of the family's 1533-position model. The record is from RNAcentral.
AUUAACGCUGGCAGAGUGCAUAACACAUGCAAGUCGAGCGAGACUAGUAGCAAUAUUAGUCUAGCGGCAGACGAGUGAGUAACACGUAAACAAUCUACCCUUGAAUGGCGAAUAACCAAUCGAAAGGCUGGCUAAUACGCCGUACUCUCCCUUGAAGGCAUCUUCGAGGGAGGAGAGAUCCGCAAGGAUCGUUCUUGGAGGAGUUUGCGGCCCAUCAGCUAGUUGGCGGUGUAAUAGACCACCAAGGCUACGACGGGUACCCGGCCUGAAAGGGCGGACGGGCACGAUGGCACUGAGACACGGGCCAUACUCCUACGGGAGGCAGCAGUGGGGAAUUUUGGACAAUGGGCGAAAGCCUGAUCCAGCAACUCUGCGUGAGGGACGAAGGUCUUCGGAUCGUAAACCUCUUUUACAUGGGAAGAAUGGCAGCAAUGCCUCGACGGUACCAUGUGAAUAAGCCACGGCUAACUAUGU